CUUCUUCGAUCUGUUGCGGACAGAUGAAAUGGAUAUGCGCAUCGAUCCCCCCUGCUGUCAGGAUAGAUCCCUCUCCAGCGAUCACUUCAGUACCCGGACCAAUAACGAUAUCGACGUUGUCCUGAACGUCGGGAUUACCGGCUUUACCUAUCUUGGCAAUACGACCUUCUUUAACACCGACAUCCGCUUUAACGAUUCCCCAGUAAUCCAAAAUAAGUGCAUUAGUGAUCACCAGAUCCAUCGCAAUCUCAUUGGUGCACUGGCUCUGGCCCAUCCCGUCACG
Molecule: small RNA, 283 nt
Filed under: Neptuniibacter caesariensis
Lineage: Bacteria; Pseudomonadati; Pseudomonadota; Gammaproteobacteria; Oceanospirillales; Oceanospirillaceae
Description: 5' ureB small RNA
Rfam family: 5' ureB small RNA
Source: Rfam by way of RNAcentral